This is a non-coding RNA of Frankia sp., 34 nucleotides long. The record is from Rfam. NCBI's taxonomy places the organism in Bacteria, Bacillati, Actinomycetota, Actinomycetes, Frankiales, Frankiaceae.
UCACUCGGAUCGUCCGGCACGUUCCUGCCGGUGA